Long non-coding RNA from Caretta caretta (loggerhead turtle), 3190 nucleotides. RefSeq lists it as uncharacterized. The record is from RefSeq and is a predicted model, not a curated record. NCBI's taxonomy places the organism in Eukaryota, Metazoa, Chordata, Testudines, Cheloniidae.
UACAGCCUCUGACAUUCUGUCCUCCACUCCAGUUUCACUGAGACACUCAAAAGGAAAGCAAGGCUGCACCUACAUGGCUGUGCAAAGAGCUGGAGGAAAAUGCAUAAGGUGUCUCAGCAUGUUCCCAGAGCCUGCAGUCUUGCCCUGCAAAUGCUUGCCUGACAUGAACAAGCACAAUCAGAGUUCAGCGGGGAGAGACAGGUGAGGCACAGAGUAACACGCCUGCAUAGCCAACAUGGACACUGCCAGCCUGUGGAUGAAAAGACCAGGACCAAGGAAAACCCAGAAUGUGAUGUGUUACACAUCUUGCGUCUACUGUUAAAAUAUAUCCAUAAAUAGUUAAAUUCUGUCCCCCAAUGUGUGUAGAGUUCGGGGAAGUGACUGGGUCAAUGCUGUUUCUCUGUACACCCACUUGUUACAACGAAGAGGAAACUGAAGGUGCUGGUUCUCCUGGCUCCCCAUCACUUCUAUUAAGAGGAUUAACCAGACAGCAAAGCAUGACUUGUUUGCUGUGAAACCUGUCCAGGAAAACAUGUGCAGAGCAUGAACGCUGUGAAAGCUUCAUAAUAUCGUACUGCAUAUUAUAUUUCUAGCAAUGCUUGGAGAACACAAGAUUAAUUGAAGCUAGGAGAGGAAGUGGUGAAAGUUCAGGUGAGUUAAAGAAAUCAAACAAACUCAAGGUGUAAGCAACCAAUUUAAAUUACCUCAAAUGAUUUGCUGUUAAUCUAGUUUGGCCAAAAUCACUUUCUUUAAAUGUGCUUUGGAGUUAACAGACUCUUUUCUUUUGCUUUGUUUACUGCAAGAACAGCACAUCCUGGAUAGAUAAAUGUAACCCUUCUGCCCGUCAGAGUUGGCAGCAACAAGGGCCGGGUUCAAUAUCUAGGGGAUCCAUUUCCAAUAACACAAUGCAAACCGGCUCGAGCCCCCACCCAGUGACCUGGGACAAAUAUAUACCACCCCCGCUGGGUGCCUCCAAGAGGCAAUACUUCCCCUCUCGCAAGCACAUAGUCUGAGUGUAGCAAAAGCCUUUUAAUAACAGAGAGAAACAAUGUGGCAUUAUGUUUGGGAAACACCACCAACAGGAUUCAUAACACAACCCAUGAGCAAAAAAAAAAACCCACCCCAAGCAAAUUGGGGCAUGCCCUUUUCCCUUUGGUUCUUGAGUCCAGCAACCCCAAAUCACUCAAAGUCCCAAAAGUCCAAUGCCCCAAAAGUCUCUGUCCCUGGUCAGGGCAGCCCCAGAGUUCGAAAGUUUAUCUGCGGAGCUUUACCUCCCAACCUGGGUGGAAAUGGGACGGGGGUAAGAGGCACCUUACAUGAUCUGAAGCUGACCGCCCCAUAGCUCCAUAGCAGCGCUCCGCUCCGCCAGCCGCCCCACGAACUCCUUCGCUCAGCUGCGCUCCGCUCCGCCAGCCGCCCCACGAACUCCUUCGCUCAGCUGCGCUCCGCUCCGCCAGCCGCCCCACGAACUCCUUCGCUCAGCUGCGCUCCACUCCGCCAGCCGCCCCACGAACUCCUUCGCUCAGCUCCACGGCCCACAAGCAGCUCCUGCCAUCCACAAACUGCUCCACCAGCCGGUCCGCAAGGCACUCCAGCCGGCCCGCCAACUGCUCCACAAUAUAUCUUCAGGCUCCCCCACUACUUAACACAACACUCAGUGAUUUCAGCUCUUAGGUGAAUUCAGCUUGUAGUAGGGGAGCCCCAGUGCUGGUGCACUGUCAGCCCAAAAUGAGCUCAGCAGCCUAUAACUAGACUUCUAAUGAAAUCAAAAUUAGCUCUGAUAUUCCACAGUGGAGAGAGGAGGAAGUGCAAUUAGCAUGUAAGGCCCUCACCAAGGAGCCCAUAGCCACCAAGUAUUAAUACUUGUCCCCAGCCUCUCUCCAUUCACACAGUUUUGGAACCCAUGACCCUUGCCUAGCGAGUGCUACUUAGUUGAUGGUGAAUCCCUCCAUCAUAACAAAAGGCCACAUACAGUUCCAAGCACAGUUCCCAUAAUCAGGGUAAUAACAAUUUAUUCUUCCUGCCCCAAUAACAGAGACACUGGGGAUCCCACAGCAGCCAAAGUGACCAUUUGGGCAGCUAUGGUCUCAUUCUAGGCGUGGUGGGUGUGCCUAUGCAAAUGAGAUCGGCCCCUGAAGUUCUUUUCCACAACUUGUCACACCUCACCACCAGAUGUCAGGGUGGAGCUCAUCCUGACACUGCUUACAUGACUAUCAAUGUCAUUGAUUCUAGGCCCUUUCCCCCCCAGAUUUCUUUAAUCUUCUCCCUAUACUAUUUCAGGAUACUGGUGUCAAAACACUCUCCCUUUAGCAGGAUCCUCUUAAAGGCUGAUGUUGUUGUGCAAUAUGCAGGAGCUCUGCUGCGGGCUCAUGAAGAAAUAUUAAGGUUACGAAUCACAAGAUCUGGACUCUGAUCCUGCUUUUUUUAUGUACUUCCUGCCUGACCAUUAGCAAAUCACAGCCUCACUUUCCCUAACUCCAGAAUGGAGCAGAAAUUCCCAAGAUGAGAUUUGACUCCGCUCAUCCUGUGUUGGUAGCCUGUGCUGUUGAUAUUCAGUAGCAGCUAUGCCGAUGAGGAAGCAAUAAAACAGAUGUCAGAAAAGUUUACAGCUGCUUAAAACAAAUCCCAGUGGCAUAUCCUAGUUUAGCAAAGAGGCCUGGCAUGUUGAAUGUUUGUCUUUUCACGUGAAUGUUUUCUCUCUUGCGUUAUUAGUAUUAAUAAAUCUUUAUAUAACAUGAUCACUCCAUAACAUCAUUUCAUUCCUCUCCUUUACAGAGUAUUUUCUUACUCACAUGAAGUAGUACCUAACUGCACUGAAUUCAGUGGAACUGUUUGUGGUGUAAGGUACUAUUCAGUGUGAAUAAGGGAUCAUAAUCUGGCCCUAAACCAGCUACAAUUGAUUUUACAGCUAGACAAAAGAAGAUGCUAAAAGAGGACAUCAUUAAAGAGAACACAAAAGAAAUGUCGCAGUGUCACCAGGUCUUGGAAUUUUUUUCAUAAAUCUUGGGUUAUUUGGUGUAUGUCAUAAAGCCCCAGCUCCUGAAUCCUCUGCUUAUGUGGCAAUCUCAGCUUUCUUUCUUUUUUUUAAGUAAGUUUCUAGGCCUAAGUGUUGAAGAGAGAGGCCUGAAAAGUGACCUGUGUGUACCCUAACUACUAACCUCACCAAAAGCAAAUAAAAACCUAGAAUGUA